RNAcentral lists this ribosomal RNA (37 nucleotides) under Leucocoprinus gongylophorus. RNAcentral's name for it is "Leucoagaricus gongylophorus partial 28S ribosomal RNA". Lineage: Eukaryota; Fungi; Basidiomycota; Agaricomycetes; Agaricales; Agaricaceae. The record is from RNAcentral.
CUUGACCUCAAAUCANGUGGGACUACCCGCUGAACUU